GUGAACGCUGGCGGCAGGCCUAAUACAUGCAAGUCGAACGGCAGCACAGUGGAGCUUGCUCCAUGGGUGGCGAGUGGCGGACGGGUGAGGAAUACAUGGGAAUCUGCCCAGUCGUGGGGGAUAACGUAGGGAAACUUACGCUAAUACCGCAUGCGCCCUUCGGGGGAAAGCCGGGGACCUUCGGGCCUGGCGCGAUUGGAUGAGCCCAUGUUCGAUUAGCUAGUUGGCGGGGUAAAGGCCCACCAAGGCGACGAUCGAUAGCUGGUCUGAGAGGAUGAUCAGCCACACUGGGACGGAGACACGGCCCAGACUCCUACGGGAGGUAGCAGUAGGGAAUAUUGGACAAUGGGCGCAAGCCUGAUCCAGCCAUGCCGCGUGAGUGAAGAAGGCCCUCGGGUUGUAAAGCUCUUUUGUCCGGGAAGAAAAGCAUCGGGCUAAUACCUCGGUGUUCUGACGGUACCGGAAGAAUAAGCACCGGCUAACUUCGUG
RNAcentral lists this ribosomal RNA (489 nucleotides) under uncultured bacterium. RNAcentral's name for it is "partial 16S ribosomal RNA". It matches the Rfam family "Bacterial small subunit ribosomal RNA", at positions 29 to 507 of the family's 1533-position model. The record is from RNAcentral.